UACGUAGGGACCGAGCGUUGUCCGGAAUCAUUGGGCGUAAAGCGCGUGUAGGCGGCCAGGUAGGUCCGGUGUGAAAACUCGAGGCUCAACCUCGAGAGGUCAUCGGAAACCAUCUGGCUAGAGUCCGGAAGAGGAGAGUGGAAUUCCCGGUGUAGCGGUGAAAUGCGCAGAUAUCGGGAAGAACACCUAUGGCGAAGGCAGCUCUCUGGGACGGUACUGACGCUGAGACGCGAAAGCGUGGGGAGCGAACAGG
This 253-nucleotide ribosomal RNA is filed under the name uncultured bacterium. Its description in RNAcentral is "partial 16S ribosomal RNA". It matches the Rfam family "Bacterial small subunit ribosomal RNA", at positions 524 to 776 of the family's 1533-position model. The record is from RNAcentral.